Molecule: long non-coding RNA, 981 nt
Filed under: Salmo salar (Atlantic salmon)
Lineage: Eukaryota; Metazoa; Chordata; Actinopteri; Salmoniformes; Salmonidae
Description: lncRNA (ENSSSAG00000105479.1)
Source: RNAcentral
GUAGAUAGGUAAGUGUGUAGGUAGAUAGGUAAGUGUGUAGGUAGAUAAGUGUGUAGGUAGGUAGAUAAGUGUGUAGGUAGGUAGAUAAGUGUGUAGGUAGGUAUAUAAGUGUGUAGGUAGGUAUAUAAGUGUGUAGGUAGGUAGAUAAGUGUGUAGGUAGGUAGAUAAGUGUGUAGGUAGGUAGAUAAGUGUGUAGGUAGAUAGAUAAGUGUGUAGGUAGAUAGAUAAGUGUGUAGGUUGGUAGACAGGUGUGUAGGUAGACAAGUGUGCAGGUAGGUAAGUGUGCAGGUAGAUAAGUGGGUAGGUAGGUAAGUGGGUAGGUAGGUAGAUAGGUGGGUAGGUGGGUAGAUAGGUGGGUAGGUGGGUAGAUAGGUGUGUAGGUAGAUAGGUGUGUAGAUAGAUAAGUGUGUAGGUAGAUAGAUAAGUGUGUAGGUAGAUAAGUGGGUAGGUAGGUAGAUAAGUGGGUAGGUAGAUAAGUGUGUAGGUAGGUAGAUAAGUGUGUAGGUAGGUAGAUAAGUGUGUAGGUAGGUAGAUAAGUGUGUAGAUAGAUAAGUGUGUAGGUCGGUAGAUAAGUGUGUAGAUAGAUAAGUGUGUAGAUAGAUAAGUGUGUAGGUCAGUAGAUAAGUGUGUAGGUCGGUAGAUAAGUGUGUAGGUCGGUAGAUAAGUGUGUAGGUAGGUAGAUAAGUGUGUAGGUAGGUAGAUACGUGUGUUGGUGGGUAGGUAGAUACGUGUGUUGGUGGGUAGGUAGAUACGUGUGUUGGUGGGUAGAUAGGUGUGUAGGUAGAUAAGUGUGUAGGUAGAUAAGUGUGUAGGUAGGUAGAUAAGUGUGUAGGUAGGUAGAUAAGUGUGUAGGUAGGUAGAUAAGUGUGUAGGUAGGUAGAUAAGUGUGUAGGUAGGUAGAUAAGUGUGUAGGUAGGUAGAUAAGUGUGCAGGUAGAUAGAUAAGUGUGCAGGUAGAUAAGUGGGUAGGUAGGUAGAUAAG